UACGGGGGGGGCAAGCGUUGUUCGGAAUUACUGGGCGUAAAGGGCUCGUAGGCGGCCUACUAAGUCAGACGUGAAAUCCCUCAGCUUAACUGGGGAACUGCGUGUGAUACUGGAUGGCUUGGAUUUGGGAGAGGGAUGCGGAAUUCCAGGUGUAGCGGUGAAAUGCGUAGAUAUCUGGAGGAACACCGGUGGCGAAGGCGGCAUCCUGGACCAAUAUUGACGCUGAGGAGCGAAAGCCAGGGGAGCAAACGGG
This 253-nucleotide ribosomal RNA is filed under the name uncultured bacterium. Its description in RNAcentral is "partial 16S ribosomal RNA". It matches the Rfam family "Bacterial small subunit ribosomal RNA", at positions 524 to 776 of the family's 1533-position model. The record is from RNAcentral.